This 640-nucleotide ribosomal RNA is filed under the name uncultured bacterium. Its description in RNAcentral is "bacterial SSU rRNA". It matches the Rfam family "Bacterial small subunit ribosomal RNA", at positions 14 to 643 of the family's 1533-position model. The record is from RNAcentral.
UGAUCAUGGCUCAGAUUGAACGCUGGCGGCAGGCCUAACACAUGCAAGUCGAACGGUAACAGGAAACAGCUUGCUGUUUCGCUGACGAGUGGCGGACGGGUGAGUAAUGUCUGGGAAACUGCCUGAUGGAGGGGGAUAACUACUGGAAACGGUAGCUAAUACCGCAUAACGUCGCAAGACCAAAGAGGGGGACCUUCGGGCCUCUUGCCAUCGGAUGUGCCCAGAUGGGAUUAGCUAGUAGGUGGGGUAACGGCUCACCUAGGCGACGAUCCCUAGCUGGUCUGAGAGGAUGACCAGCCACACUGGAACUGAGACACGGUCCAGACUCCUACGGGAGGCAGCAGUGGGGAAUAUUGCACAAUGGGCGCAAGCCUGAUGCAGCCAUGCCGCGUGUAUGAAGAAGGCCUUCGGGUUGUAAAGUACUUUCAGCGGGGAGGAAGGGAGUAAAGUUAAUACCUUUGCUCAUUGACGUUACCCGCAGAAGAAGCACCGGCUAACUCCGUGCCAGCAGCCGCGGUAAUACGGAGGGUGCAAGCGUUAAUCGGAAUUACUGGGCGUAAAGCGCACGCAGGCGGUUUGUUAAGUCAGAUGUGAAAUCCCCGGGCUCAACCUGGGAACUGCAUCUGAUACUGGCAAGCUG